This 506-nucleotide ribosomal RNA is filed under the name uncultured bacterium. RNAcentral describes it as "bacterial SSU rRNA". It matches the Rfam family "Bacterial small subunit ribosomal RNA", at positions 1 to 524 of the family's 1533-position model. The record is from RNAcentral.
UAGAGUUUGAUCCUGGCUCAGGACGAACGCUGGCGGCGUGCUUAACACAUGCAAGUCGAACGAUGAACCUGGAGCUUGCUCUAGGGAAUUAGUGGCGAACGGGUGAGUAACACGUGAGUAACCUGCCCUUGACUCUGGGAUAACCUCCGGAAACGGAAGCUAAUACCGGAUAUGACGCACGGAGGCAUCUCCUGUGCGUGGAAAGAACUUCGGUCAAGGAUGGACUCGCGGCCUAUCAGGUAGUUGGUGAGGUAACGGCUCACCAAGCCUACGACGGGUAGCCGGCCUGAGAGGGUGACCGGCCACACUGGGACUGAGACACGGCCCAGACUCCUACGGGAGGCAGCAGUGGGGAAUAUUGCACAAUGGGCGCAAGCCUGAUGCAGCAACGCCGCGUGAGGGACGACGGCCUUCGGGUUGUAAACCUCUUUUAGUAGGGAAGAAGCGAAAGUGACGGUACCUGCAGAAAAAGCACCGGCUAACUACGUGCCAGCAGCCCCGGUCAA